This 102-nucleotide non-coding RNA is filed under the name Anaerobacillus arseniciselenatis. Its description in RNAcentral is "SAM-I sequence". It matches the Rfam family "SAM riboswitch aptamer (S box leader)". Rfam says of the family: The SAM riboswitch is found upstream of a number of genes which code for proteins involved in methionine or cysteine biosynthesis in Gram-positive bacteria. The SAM riboswitch acts at the level of transcription termination control. Lineage: Bacteria; Bacillati; Bacillota; Bacilli; Caryophanales; Bacillaceae. The record is from Rfam by way of RNAcentral.
UACUUAUCAAGAGUGGCGGAGGGACUGACCCGAUGAAGCCCGGCAACCUGUUUUAAACAAGGUGCUAAUUUCAGCAGAACGAUUUGUUCUGGUAGAUAAGUU